This 1204-nucleotide ribosomal RNA is filed under the name metagenome. RNAcentral describes it as "bacterial LSU rRNA". It matches the Rfam family "Bacterial large subunit ribosomal RNA", at positions 1738 to 2925 of the family's 2925-position model. The record is from RNAcentral.
UUGAGAAGGUGUGCCGCUGGCGGUUAGUGACUUCGCGUCACGAAGCUGUUGGUGGUCGCAGUGAAAUGGCGGUUGUGACUGUUUACUAAAAACACAGGACUCUGCGAAGUCGUAAGACGACGUAUAGGGUCUGAUGCCUGCCCGGUGCUGGAAGGUUAAGGGGAUAUGUCAGCGCAAGCGAAGCAUUGAACCGAAGCCCCAGUAAACGGCGGCCGUAACGAUAACGGUCCUAAGGUAGCGAAAUUCCUUGUCGGGUAAGUUCCGACCUGCACGAAGGGCAUAACAACAUCCGCACUGUCUCGACCAGGGACUCAGCGAAAUUACAUUGGGGGUGAAGAUGCCCUCUACCCGCGGAAAGACGGAAAGACCCCAUGAACCUUUACUGCAACUUGGCAGUGAUUUUCGGGUUGUUCUGCGUAGGAUAGGUGGGAGGCUUUGAAGCCGGGCUUCCGGGUUCGGCAGAGCCAACGUUGAAAUACCACCCUGAAUAAUCUGGAAAUCUAACCUGCGCCCAUGAUCUGGGCGAGGGACACUGCCUGGUGGGCAGUUUGACUGGGGCGGUCGCCUCCUAAAUUGUAACGGAGGCGUGCGACGGUUCCCUCAGGCUGAUUGGAAACCAGCCGUAGAGUGCAAACGCAUAAGGGAGCUUUACUGCGAGACUGACAAGUCGACCAGUUGCGAAAGCAGGUGUUAGUGAUCCGGUGGUACCACAUGGAAGGCCAUCGCUCAUCGGAUAAAAGGUACUCUGGGGAUAACAGGCUGAUCGCGCCUGAGAGUUCACAUCGGCGGCGCGGUUUGGCACCUCGAUGUCGGCUCAUCGCAUCCUGGGGCUGGAGCAGGUCCCAAGGGUUUGGCUGUUCGCCAAUUAAAGCGGUACGCGAGCUGGGUUUAAAACGUCGUGAGACAGUUUGGUCCCUAUCUUCCGUGGGCGCAGGACACUUGAGAGGAGCUAUCCAUAGUACGAGAGGACCUGGAUGGACGAACCUCUGGUGCUCCGGUUGUCACGCCAGUGGCAUAGCCGGGUAGCCAUGUUCGGAACAGAUAACCGCUGAAGGCAUAUAAGCGGGAAGCUGGCCUCAAGACUAGGUGUCCCUGACGCAAGUCACUAAAGGCCCCUCGAAGACUACGAGGUUGAUAGGCUCGGUGUGGAAGCGCUGCGAGGCGCGGAGCUAACGAGUACUAAUAGGCCGUGAGGCUUGACCCC